CAGUCGCCGCGGUAAUACGUAGGUCCCGAGCGUUGUCCGGAUUUAUUGGGCGUAAAGCGAGCGCAGGCGGUUAGAUAAGUCUGAUGUGAAAGCCCCCGGCUCAACCGGGGAGGGUCAUUGGAAACUGGGAAACUUGAGUGCAGAAGAGGAGAGUGGAAUUCCACGUGUAGCGGUGAAAUGCGUGGAGAUGUGGAGGAACACCAGUGGCGAAGGCGACUCUCUGGUCUGUAACUGACGCUGAGGAGCGAAAGCGUGGGGAGCGAACAGGAUUAGAUACCCCUGUAGUCCCUGUCUCUUAUAC
Molecule: ribosomal RNA, 301 nt
Filed under: uncultured bacterium
Lineage: Bacteria
Description: partial 16S ribosomal RNA
Rfam family: Bacterial small subunit ribosomal RNA
Source: RNAcentral